AAACGAUUAGGUUGUUGCUGAGUUGAUGAAACCAGGAUUGAACAAUGUUUUGCUGCCCACAUUGUUCACAGUUGUCAACAAUAAUUGAACAAUGUUUGGCUGCCCACUAGAGGUGUGCGUCGGAUUGGUAGCGUCGGAUCGGAUUGGACGUUUAUAAUCCGGUAGUUGGCUCACUUGGCUGGUGUUUGGAGUCUUUGGAAUCCGAUCCGAAACUGUCCGAUUCGGGUUGCACGUUGCUACCGUUAGCACUAUUUUCCAUCCAAAGAGGUGUCAAAUGGCUAUGUAACUACCCCUACUCUAACCCCGAUCCCUAACCGCAACCCUAAUCCUAACCGAAUUAAUAAAAAAAGAAAAAAAGAAACGACUUUAGAAAAUCGCUAGCGCGGUUUGCUGGAUGGAAAAUAGUGCUAUUAAACCCACUAAGAUGUGGGGUGAAUCUCAUGGUUGGGGCAUGCCAUGCCAUGGGGUGAAUGUACAUCAGAAGACUAGUAAAUUACAAGUGUAAAAGGGACUUAAUUUAACUAACUGAACAUUACUAAGUACUAUAAAUAAGUCAGCCUCCAACCUGAGCCAAAAGUGUAUUAAAUCGGAUUAACUAACAUGGCAAUGUCAAUGUAGAAUAUUAAGCAGAAUCAAAUAUAAUGGCUUAAUUAGGCAUCAAUAAAUCGUAUUUGUUUUGCAGCAUUUUGAAGGCGC
Non-coding RNA from Paramuricea clavata, 696 nucleotides. NCBI's taxonomy places the organism in Eukaryota, Metazoa, Cnidaria, Anthozoa, Malacalcyonacea, Plexauridae. The record is from the annotation of a GenBank genome assembly.